RNAcentral lists this long non-coding RNA (386 nucleotides) under Rattus norvegicus (Norway rat). RNAcentral describes it as "long non-coding RNA NONRATT008521". The record is from RNAcentral. Lineage: Eukaryota; Metazoa; Chordata; Mammalia; Rodentia; Muridae.
CGCCAGGCCAGACGUGAGGACACUCAAGCAGGACAGCAGGGUCAGGGUCGGGCCCUCCUGGAAGCUGUUCCAGCGCCCUCCGAUGCGUCUGCGCAUGUUUGGAGAAUCUUCCUGGAAUAAACACUACGAGUGGAAGAGAGACGUCAGCGGUGAUCCGAAGACAGGACCGCUCCUUCAGGAGCUUCGAUGCUGGGUCUCUUUUAGAUACUCUAAAACCACAAGACACUGAGCCCCGGAUUCCCAGAGUCUCCGGGUCGGCGCUCGCCGGGAUCCUGCAGCCAUGAGCGUGGGUUUCAUCGGCGCGGGCCAGCUGGCCUGUGCUCUGGCGCGGGGCUUCACGGCCGCGGGCGUCCUGUCGGCUCACAAGAUAAUAGCCAGCUCCCCGG